GCCCUCUUAGUUUAGUGGUAGAACGCAGCCAUGGUAAGGCUGAAAUAACAGUUCAAUUCUGUUAGAGGGCACCA
This 74-nucleotide transfer RNA is filed under the name Acholeplasma sp. RNAcentral's name for it is "tRNA-Thr". It matches the Rfam family "tRNA". Rfam says of the family: Transfer RNA (tRNA) molecules are approximately 80 nucleotides in length. Their secondary structure includes four short double-helical elements and three loops (D, anti-codon, and T loops). Further hydrogen bonds mediate the characteristic L-shaped molecular structure. tRNAs have two regions of fundamental functional importance: the anti-codon, which is responsible for specific mRNA codon recognition, and the 3' end, to which the tRNAs corresponding amino acid is attached (by aminoacyl-tRNA synthetases). tRNAs cope with the degeneracy of the genetic code in two manners: having more than one tRNA (with a specific anti-codon) for a particular amino acid; and 'wobble' base-pairing, i.e. permitting non-standard base-pairing at the 3rd anti-codon position. Lineage: Bacteria; Bacillati; Mycoplasmatota; Mollicutes; Acholeplasmatales; Acholeplasmataceae. The record is from RNAcentral.